AACACCGGUUUUAACACACGUCCCAUGCCCAGAAAAACCAAACCGACCCUUCUAUCCUUCCAGCGAUCCCACCCUUCCAUAUAAGCACCAAUCAAAUCAUAUUAAAUGGUCGGUUUAAAACCUUCCAUCCAAGACAUUUCCUUGUUAGCGCAUGUAUUUAUUGUUAAUAUCGCUACAAAUAUUUAUGUAAUCAAUUAGCUAUCAAAUAAAAUAUCUCAAGAUUAUUCUCCAACAAGCCAAAAGGAAACAACUUGUGUUAAUUCACAAAAUCAACCCACGAAAUAUACAUGGAAGCUAUGAUAUUUUCUUUUGGAAAGUAUUGCUCGUAUUCCAAAGGAAAUUCCAAAUCGAUCCGCCUAUUAAACAUGGAGAUUUCUUAAAGAAGUGUGUGCCCGUCGAUCCAUAGCUGCAACGCAAAGAACGCGCUGCUCGAUCAAAUCAACCGAGGGACGAGAGGAGAAAGGUCUCCGCCGGACUCCGCUUCCCCACCGCCGCGGAGCUGCCCGCUCCCCUCGCUCCAGAUCGAACUCCAUCCUGACCAGCCCAUCACGUCGAUUCCUUCGCCGACCGUCUACUCCGCUCAAUGCUGUCCCGCUGGACGCUCCUUCUCUCUUCUGCGCCUGGCCUUCCUCCACAACCUGGCGUCUCACUGUCGCCGUCGGCCAUCACCAGGUCGCCGCCUCCCAAACUCACCUACAGGUCGACCGGUACUCAUGAGAAUAGCAGAUCAGUACCUCUGGCCCUAAAAUCCCAUGUUCUUUUCUCUGGUCCGUUAAAUAUACUAUUUGGAAUCAGAUAUAUUUUACUCAUAUGAGGCAAUUUCUGCCAAAUUUGCUGAUAAUUUAGAAAGUGUGUUGCAUGCGUAAUCUUGAAUUCUUCUGUCAAUUUUGUCGUUGUCAAUUUUUGUUAGUUCAACAGGAAAACGAAUGUGAUGCACAUUGUAAGCUGCCAUGGACUGCUGAUACGACUCAUGCAUUACUUCAUGGUUCAUUAUGAGAGACGCGCAUUAACUUGGCAAUAUCAAAACUGGUGUUCCAUGAAACAACAGUCAUAAUAUUGCAGUCACUCGCCGAUGUGUAUCAGGACCGUUGACAUGACUGGAUCAUUUAGUGUUAGAAUAAUCUUAUAUUCUAGGAUGGAGGGAGUACCAUACCACUGUUUGUGCCUGAUUCGAAGAACAGUGAGGUGACUUUAGAUAGCUGUAAUGAGCUGAUGGAGCCUUUGACCUGAAGUUAUAUUUGUAUAGAUUACAUGAUUUGUUGAUGAGGAUAAGAAAGAGGAGCUGAUGGCGAACCAACCGAGGAAGGUCAUGGAAGAUUGAGGUUGGGCGCGAUGCCACAUCAGAAGUUAUUUAGGCUAUGGGCGAGUUAGGGGCCAUGGAGGAGUGAGCUGAUAGGAGGGUCGAGUAUGGUGCAUACAUGUCAACAUUGGUAGUCAGAACUUAUGUUGAGUGCGGAUGGGAAUGAUGGAAUGAGGACGGGCGUGCUGCAGUUUAGCAAUUUGUCAUUGCCAAAUGAUUCAAUCCCGGUGAGGUCAUUGUUGGAUAUGCAAGGUCUCACUUGGCAAGGUAUUCGAAGUUCUUAAGUGCUUAGGAACCUCGCUGUGUUUUCGUAUUGACGUGAUUAGCAAGUGUAUUUACCGAAGCAUAGAUGUAAUACGGGUUAUGUGCAGCACCGAAUCUGAGGUGGCUGCAGUCCAGUCGGUUCUGGCAUUGGAGAGUUAAGAGUGAAUCAGACUUAAUCAGAUGGCAUCGACACUGUGUUAAUCAUUGGAAGGUCUGUUGAGCGUUUGGGAAGAGAAGCAUGGGGCCAAUACGUACUUUUGGUUCUUAACCUAGGUGAUCUCAUUUAAAGUUGUUGCCGUUUGUUAAAGUCAUUCUUGAUAAGCUACACAACGCUUCAUGUAUUGCACUACUAAUGCCGUUUAUUUGGUGGCCAACCUCCUGUUCCACUCGUAUAUAGAUGAUUUGUUUUGUUUACUAAAAUGUGAAUAUAAGUGAAUCUAUCUUAAAUUAGUACAAUGAUUAUAAUUUGUCUUAAGUUAACACAAUGAUUAUAAUUUUGAAGUGUGGGUGUGACAGGGUUGAGGGAUUGUGAGUCGGAUAUGCCAUUAAUGGCACCAUGCUUGGAUUGGGGAGUAGAAGAGUAAUCAUUUUAUUUGUUUGACACGAUUAGUGUAUUAUGCACCGUAGCAAUGCAAGGGCAAUGAGCACGUGAAAGUAGAUGUUUUGCAUGCAUGGCUGGUGGAGAAACAUAUUUAGAGGAA
Long non-coding RNA from Triticum aestivum (bread wheat), 2265 nucleotides. RefSeq lists it as uncharacterized. The transcript is spliced from 3 exons. The record is from RefSeq and is a predicted model, not a curated record. NCBI's taxonomy places the organism in Eukaryota, Viridiplantae, Streptophyta, Magnoliopsida, Poales, Poaceae.